UUUACUUUCUGAAAGUUGAGGAAACUUUUGGUAGAAGAAAAUAACUCAUUGAGGUCUGGAGUUGAAAUUUAGCCGAAUCUGACUAAGCUCCGGGUCCUAUUAAGACAAAAAAUAAGUAAAAAAGAUGGGGUGAGUUAAUUUGCAGUUUUAGCCAAGACUGGGAAUAGAGAAAUUCUUAGUCUGUCUAGGCCUUACCUAUGGCAGUUACAAUUUAUGUUAAUGAAAAAGGGGAAGGCCAGGAAAUCCGCCCCACGUAGAUUUGUCCUUAGGUUGGAUUUAUGCCUCUGUCCUACUAAAGGUACUUCCGGUGCUAUGGCUAUUCUUGGUUGUUAAAUUGACGCACCUGGAAAAAAAUGAACCUCAAUUGAGAAAUCGCCUCCGUCAAAUUGACCUCUGGGGUGUGUCUGCAGAGCAUUUUCUUGAUUGCUAACUGAAGGAAGAGAGCUUAGCCCACUGUAGGCACCGCUUCUGGGCAGGUGGUCCUGGAUUGUAUGAGGUGAGCAGAAACAGAAAGCAAGCCAGUAAACUGCGUUCUUCCUUGACCACUAAUUAAUCUACUCACUUUACAUGCCAAUCACAGCCUUUAAUCCAGUCAGUUCCUUAAAUUGUGCUACUGUUAUGAAUAGUAAGUAAAAAUAUCUGUGUUUCCUAUAGUCUUAAACCCACUGUCAAAGGGGUCAAGAUUGAGAACCACCGGCUUCCACGUUCCUGUCAGGGGUUCAUGCCCUGACUUUCAUGUUUGACUGUAAGCAGUGAGAUGAGGUAAGGAAGAGUAACAACAGGAUCAAAGCUGGGAUCUGUCUCAGGGCAGCCAAUAGGAAGACGGCUUGUGAUGGGCUCCCCUACGACACGCUGAAAGGAAGAAACGUGGGUGUUCACUCCCUAGCGAGGCAGCCUUCUCUCUCCACUGUGCAGUUUUUUGUUUUGUUUUGUUUUUUCGAGACAGGGCUUCUCUGUAUAGUCCUGGCUGCUCAAGAACUUUUUCUAUAGACCAGGCUGGCCUCAAGCUCAGAGAUCAGCUUGCCUCUGCCUCCUGAGUGCUGGAACCAAAGGCGUGCACCACCACCACCACCACCACCACCACCACCAGGCUCGAGUUUGAUAUUUAAAAGCUAUUGGAAAUGACUUUUUUCCCUUCAGGUCUUUUUGACACGUUUGUAUUUGGUUCAGUGAAAGGAUGCCUAUGUUUUGUUUGUUGGUUUUUUUCUGCUACUUUUCUAAAAGUGUUUUUCAAGUCUAAGGAUUUUCUGGUAGAAGCCAGUCAUGGGGGCACACCCCAGUAAUCCUAACACUCUGGAGGCUACAACAGGAGGAUCACCAUGAGUUUGAGACCUGAGCUUCACAGUGAGCUCUAGGCCAGCAGGUACAGAUUGGAUCUCAACAUUAUACCAGGCCGGUGAGGUGUAGUGGUACACACCUUCAAGCCUAAGACUCGGGUGAGAAAGAACUCUGAGAUCGAGCCCAACCUGGUCUACAUAGCAAGUUCUAGGCUAGCCAAGGCUAAAAAAAAUGUAAAGCAAACCAAACAAAUUCACUAAAACCCAGCAACACAUAGUGUCUGGUGGGGUCUUUAGGAUCUUUUGAGGAUUGCAUCGUGUCAUGCAGAAAUAGGGGUGAGUUGGCCGUUCCCUUUCCCAUGUCUGUUUCUCUUAUUUUCUCUCUUACUAGUCCAGUAAGACUUCUAGCACCAUAUUCAAAAGAGUGGAGAAUGGCCACCCUUGUCUCCUUUCUAACUUUAGAGGAAAUUCCCCAUGUAGUGUGAUGUUGGCUACAGGCUUGCCGUAUUUAGCUCUUAAAACAUUGAGGUAUGCAUUUCUUCUGUCUCUAGUUCUGCAGGGGCUUUGUCAUGAAGGAUGUUGGACUUUGCCAAAGGCCUUUAAUGUGUCUACAGAUGUGGUCAUGUGAUUUUUGUCAUUACAUCUCUUCAGCCCUUGUACUAUAUUCAUAGGUGUGGAUGUGUUGAGCCAAUCUUACAUUCCUGAGAUGAAACUAACUUUAUCACAGUGUUCUUGAAAUGGAUUUACAAUAUUCUUUAGAAAUUUAGUGGUUGUUGGAGAAUUUGGGCUGUUGUGUCCUCUCUGGUUUGCUGUGCUGUGGCUUUGUAGGAUAAGUGUGGUAGUGUCCCUUCCCUUUCUACUUUGUAGAGCAUUCUGAGAAGUGCUGGUGUCGCCUUCCUCUUAACAGCAUGGGAGAAUAUGGGAGAAUAUGGCUGUGAACCAUCCCAUACUGUGUGAGACUUAGUGGGCACAUUUUAUUACUAUUUCAACUUAACUGCCUAUUGCAUCUGCUUACAUUGUUUAUGUCUUCUUGAUUUAAUUCUGGUCAGUUAAGUAGAUCUCGGAAUGUAUUCAUUUCUUCCAGAUUUUCUAGGGACUGUUUUGUUUUGUUGUAAUACAAGUUAAAGUAUUGCCUAAGAUGCUCUGUAUUUUAUUUCAAGAUAUUAUACUAUCCCGUUUCCAUCUCCAAUUUCUUAACUUGGUGCUUUCUAUCCAUAUCUAUCUACCUACAUCUCUAUGUCUGUCUGUCUGUCUGUCUCCAUUCUCUCUCUAUGGCCUUAUGUAACCCAGGCUGGUCUCAGAUUUACUAUAUAGCUGAGGAUAACCCUGACCAUCUGACCCCUCUACCUCCACCGUAGACAUGCGCCACCAUGACCAGUUUUAGCUGACACUGAGGGGCAAGCCCAGCACUCUGCUAAGCACUCUGCAAACAGAGUGACACCUCAGCCCCUCUCUCUUCACCUUGGUCGUCUUGACUAGGCCUUUGUCAGUCUUGCUUAUCUUGUCCGAGAACCAGCUUUUUGGUUGGCUGUUCCCAUGUCUUGCUCCUUUACCUCCAUUUCAUUCACUUCUGCUCCACUACUGUUUUUGCUUUCAGAUUUUUCUUGCUUUUCUAAGAAGUUGGGGGUAAGUCGUUAGGUGUUUAAACUUCAGAUUGCACUGACUUCUUCUUUUUCUUUUAUUAAACAUAUUUUAAAAAAAUAUUUAUGUAUAUGGGUACUUUGUCUGCAUGUACGUCUGCCUGCACACCAGAAGACAGUAUCACACAGCGCUGGCUUACUGGCCAUGGACUGCCUUGUGUUGUGCUUUUCUUAAAGUGCCCUUAUUUCACAAUCAAAUUUAAAGCAUACUUGCUGGAUACAAUAAUCCUGGUUAGUUAUGUACUUUCAGCAAUUACUGUGCAAUCUGUCCUUUCCAGGCUUUUACUGGAUGAUGAGGGCCCGAGGCGACGUCACUCCAUGUCUCUGUAGGCCAGUUGGUCCUCUCCCUGACAUUCCAUUCCAUUCUUCCCGUGCCCUUUUGACCUCUUACCUAGCCCACGUCACGGAAAGUACCCUCAGCAGCCUUGUCUGUCUGUAAUUCUAAGUGCCUCUUGUACUUGGCUGUCUGUUUUCUUUCUCUAGAUCUGGGGGAUUUUCUGUUACAAGUGAACUUUCUAGACAAUAAAACAGUAAAAACACUAAGAACGUCUAACAGUGGAGGAACGUGUGGAGAAAGAAAGAAAAGCUGAGCGUAGUAGUUCACACCUGUAAUCCCAGCACUCGGGAAGGUAUGCAAUCUCAUGAGUUCAAGGCCAGCCUGGGGUAGAGAAUGAGAAAUG
RNAcentral lists this long non-coding RNA (3597 nucleotides) under Mus musculus (house mouse). RNAcentral describes it as "long non-coding RNA chr14:56575925-56579522". Lineage: Eukaryota; Metazoa; Chordata; Mammalia; Rodentia; Muridae. The record is from RNAcentral.